GUUGGGGGUGCCGGAUCCUGGGCUGUGUUCCCUGGCGCCCUGGGCCCUGGGGCCUGUACCGCUUGAAUCACGCUCCUGGGGCAGCACAGCCCACU
RNAcentral lists this microRNA precursor (95 nucleotides) under Canis lupus familiaris (dog). Its description in RNAcentral is "mir-8799 microRNA precursor family". It matches the Rfam family "mir-8799 microRNA precursor family". RNAcentral also lists the same sequence under 1 other name. The record is from Rfam by way of RNAcentral. Lineage: Eukaryota; Metazoa; Chordata; Mammalia; Carnivora; Canidae.